AUGGUUCUCCAAUUUUGCAGAUGGAAUUUUAUCCAAUAUUCAGAUGUAUAAUCUGCUUCAAGUAUGUACACAGGGGAAGUAAUAAGAGUACUGUGAAUUCUCAACUGACCAUUUUCUGACACAUUAAAGAAAUAGCAAAGCACUUAUCUCUGAAGUCUCACUUUUUAAAUAUGUUACAAUGAAUUGUGAUCCUGUUUUAUGUAUCUGACUGACAGCACUGGGAAUUAAGUUCCUCAGCCAAUGAAAUAAUAAACCCAAUGCCACGAUAAAACCUACGGUAGAGACUGAUAAGGACUCCAGAUCCAGGCUGCUAAUACUCUUCAAAGUCAUUCAGCUGUGGCUACUACAUGAUGUCUGAGUGUUUCCACAAGGCACUGUUUUGGACAUUGGGAACAUCGAAGUAGAGUGAGCAUCAUCAUGAAUGGAAACACUUUCUCUGAAAAAAGACAUAAAACAAUUGAAAGUCAGCAGUGUCUUUCUUGCAAAAUAUUAUGAAGAUCAGGACAA
Molecule: long non-coding RNA, 507 nt
Filed under: Homo sapiens (human)
Lineage: Eukaryota; Metazoa; Chordata; Mammalia; Primates; Hominidae
Description: non-protein coding LINC01493:15
Source: RNAcentral